This is a non-coding RNA of Camellia sinensis, 1130 nucleotides long. The record is from RefSeq and is a predicted model, not a curated record. Lineage: Eukaryota; Viridiplantae; Streptophyta; Magnoliopsida; Ericales; Theaceae.
CAUUUUGAAUGCAACAUGCCAAACUGCAUUCAAAACACUUUGGUAUGGUAUGUUUCUAAAAUAGAUGGAUUUUCAAACUGGUAUUAUUUUUUAAGUUUGAACUCUAGUAAGAGAAACUCUAAUCGGAAGGUUAAAAGACUUGCUAAAAUUAUUUUUAAAGGUAGACAUCUUAAAAAGUUGCUAGAAGAUCUUCUCCAAUAUUGAGUAGUUGAAUGUCUUGUCAAAAAAUUAUUAAAUUAAUUGUUGCUUCAAAUUUGACUUGAAGUUUUGUAAAGCAAUUUUUGUCACAUCAACAAAAUUAAAUCAUGAUCACAAGAAAGUAUUUGAGUAGAUCCAAUGGUAAAAACCUGAUGUAAGAAUUUGUUAUGUCAAAAUAGCAUGUGAACUGUUAGAAUGAUAUAGUCAAAAAAAUAUUUUAUUUGUACUAUAAGUGUAAUUUUGUGUUUGGAUUAUAAAUUUGUGUAGGAAUGGGAAAUAGAAAGAAAAAAUAUGAGUGAAAUAUAAAUAAAAUAUAGUUACAUUUUGCCUAUAUUUCACUUACUAGUUUUUUUUUUUCCUUUCAAAAUCCAAACGCAAAUCUAUAAUCUAAACAUAGCUUAAUGGAAAAGUUAUAAGGCUUGCCAAAGUUAUUUUUUAGCUAGAUAUCUCAAAAAUCCUUCUUCAAUAGUGAGCCAAAUGUCUUGCCAAAAAAUGGCAAACCAAAUCUUGUGUAAAAUUUGGCUUGAAGUUUGUUAAAGUCAUUUUUGUCACAUCAUCAAAACUAAAUCAUGAUCACAAUAAAUUUGUUGAGGUGUAGAUGUGAUGGUCAAAAAUUUAUGAGAAUCGGUUGUGUUAAAAUAGCAUAAGUAAUCUUAUUUAGAGACCUAACAAACGCGUUGGAGAGCCUUUCUCUCUAGGAGAUUUUUGGCAUCUUUCCAGUGUUUUUCUUCUUCAACUCUUGGCUUUAGGUGGUGUCGAAAGUUAAAGAAGGUAGCCAACACAGCAAUGGAGAUGCGCAGAGGCGGCAGGGACGAUAGCAACACCGACAAUGUGUUUGGGCUUUAUUUUGAUACAGAGUACCGCAACUAAUUUUUUUUGGCGAUUUUUGUAAUUUGUUAUUUAUAAUUUGUAUAAAAUUUCUUAUUUGGCCA